CUAAGGAUAAAGUUAUCAUCUUCAGUUUUGAGAGACUUAAGUAAGUUUUUCAUUUUUUAAGAUUCGGGCCUAUAGCUCAGCUGGUUAGAGCACACGCCUGAUAAGCGUGAGGUCGGUGGUUCAAGUCCAUUUAGGC
Molecule: transfer RNA, 136 nt
Filed under: Candidatus Phytoplasma solani
Lineage: Bacteria; Bacillati; Mycoplasmatota; Mollicutes; Acholeplasmatales; Acholeplasmataceae
Description: partial 16S-23S ribosomal RNA intergenic spacer
Rfam family: tRNA (bases 66-136)
About the family: Transfer RNA (tRNA) molecules are approximately 80 nucleotides in length.
Source: RNAcentral